This 201-nucleotide ribosomal RNA is filed under the name Clostridium botulinum. Its description in RNAcentral is "partial 16S ribosomal RNA". It matches the Rfam family "Bacterial small subunit ribosomal RNA", at positions 1 to 200 of the family's 1533-position model. The record is from RNAcentral. Lineage: Bacteria; Bacillati; Bacillota; Clostridia; Eubacteriales; Clostridiaceae.
UUUAUUGAGAGUUUGAUCCUGGCUCAGGACGAACGCUGGCGGCGUGCCUAACACAUGCAAGUCGAGCGAUGAAACUUCUUCGGAAGUGGAUUAGCGGCGGACGGGUGAGUAACACGUGGGCAACCUGCCUCAUAGAGAGGGAUAGCCUUUCGAAAGGAAGAUUAAUACCUCAUAAGAUUGUAGUUUCGCAUGAAACGGCAA